This 253-nucleotide ribosomal RNA is filed under the name uncultured bacterium. RNAcentral's name for it is "partial 16S ribosomal RNA". It matches the Rfam family "Bacterial small subunit ribosomal RNA", at positions 524 to 776 of the family's 1533-position model. The record is from RNAcentral.
UACGGGGGGGGCAAGCGUUGUUCGGAAUUACUGAGCGUAAAGGGCUCGUAGGUGGCCAACUAAGUCAGACGUGAAAUCCCUCGGCUUAACCGGGGAACUGCGUCUGAUACUGGAUGGCUUGAGUUUGGGAGAGGGAUGCGGAAUUCCAGGUGUAGCGGUGAAAUGCGUAGAUAUCUGGAGGAACACCGGUGGCGAAGGCGGCAUCCUGGACCAACACUGACACUGAGGAGCGAAAGCCAGGGGAGCAAACGGG